Molecule: ribosomal RNA, 254 nt
Filed under: uncultured bacterium
Lineage: Bacteria
Description: partial 16S ribosomal RNA
Rfam family: Bacterial small subunit ribosomal RNA
Source: RNAcentral
UACGUAGGGUGCGAGCGUUGUCCGGAAUUAUUGGGCGUAAAGAGCUCGUAGGCGGUCUGUCGCGUCGAUCGUGAAAACUUGGGGCUUAACCCUGAGCUUGCGGUUGAUACGGGCAUGACUGGAGUUCGGCAGGGGAGACUGGAAUUCCUGGUGUAGCGGUGAAAUGCGCAGAUAUCAGGAGGAACACCGGUGGCGAAGGCGGGUCUCUGGGCCGAUACUGACGCUGAGGAGCGAAAGCGUGGGGAGCGAACAGG